CCUUGCUAAACAGGACCCAUGGGGGAGAGAUUUGAAGAAGCCAUCAGGGUUUUGACUAGAAGGCAGGGGUCCUCAAAGCUGUGAAAGUCUGAUCUAUCAGAGGUGGCUGCCAAGCUGUGCUUUCUUCUGCAGAUGGCAAAAGAAAAAGAUGUGAAACAAGACAUGUUUAAAUGGAAGAGAGAGGAAUGAGAGAGGAAGGCAAGAAUACAAAUAUUUAAGAAAGCUUUAUUUUCCUGAAGCAAAGAAUGACACUUGAAACCGAGGGAAUCUCAAUGUCCACCUUGCAUUUCCAUGACCAGCAAGAGAGGGGAACCCCUACAGGUAAU
This is a long non-coding RNA of Homo sapiens (human), 326 nucleotides long. Ensembl annotates it as long intergenic non-protein coding RNA 1698. Lineage: Eukaryota; Metazoa; Chordata; Mammalia; Primates; Hominidae. The record is from Ensembl.